This 1660-nucleotide long non-coding RNA is filed under the name Nicotiana benthamiana. RNAcentral's name for it is "long non-coding RNA (NBEN_LNC022439)". The record is from RNAcentral. Lineage: Eukaryota; Viridiplantae; Streptophyta; Magnoliopsida; Solanales; Solanaceae.
AUAAAAAUAACAUACUGCUUAAAUUACUGAAAGGGAGCUCACUUCUCGUGUAGAUAGUAGUUUACUGUGGUCUUUGGUGGCUCUGACAAACGGGAACAAAUGAUCAAAACCAUCAAACUUAACGAACAUCUUUUCGCUUCUUUUGUGUAUAAUCCUGUUUAAUCUCGAAUUUUAUCAGUUUCGGUGACCAAAUAAUACAACGCAGACAAAAAGUUCCUAGAUUGACAAAGCAAUUUUUAUAAGUAAUGAGAAAUGUUUUAUUGACAAAGCAUAUAGGAAAUAAAAGUGUCAGAUCUCAAUUAUUGCAUCUGCAUCAUGUACAAUGCUGAAUUCGCACCAAAAUGCCAACAAAGAAAUGCAUCUAUGUUUAAGGCUAAGUAUGCAUAUAGGAAAUAAAAGUGUCAGAUCUCAAUUAUUGCAUCUGCAUCAUGUACAAUGCUGAAUUCGCACCAAAAUGCCAACAAAGAAAUGCAUCUAUGUUUAAGGCUAAGUAUGCAUAUAGGAAAUAAAAGUGUCAGAUCUCAAUUAUUGCAUCUGCAUCAUGUACAAUGCUGAAUUCGCACCAAAAUGCCAACAAAGAAAUGCAUCUAUGUUUAAGGCUAAGUAUGCAUAUAGGAAAUAAAAGUGUCAGAUCUCAAUUAUUGCAUCUGCAUCAUGUACAAUGCUGAAUUCGCACCAAAAUGCCAACAAAGAAAUGCAUCUAUGUUUAAGGCUAAGUAUGCAUAUAGGAAAUAAAAGUGUCAGAUCUCAAUUAUUGCAUCUGCAUCAUGUACAAUGCUGAAUUCGCACCAAAAUGCCAACAAAGAAAUGCAUCUAUGUUUAAGGCUAAGUAUGCAUAUAGGAAAAUUCCUCUUUUUGCCUUGAGACUCUUGUUUCUUUCAAUCCAUACAGCACUCCACCAGAUUGUGGUGAGGCAUGCCUCCUUGACCAAGUGGAACAGGAAGCUCUCAAGGGAGCUUUGUUGCAAUAGAUAUCCAUAGCCAUACACAAUUGACAGAAGAUGCAUGCCCUAAGUAAUCAAUGUCAGAUAUGAAUGUUGAUCGUGCUCCAAGAUAACAUUUCAAUGGAAAUCAUCUUUGACUAGUAUGAUGAAUCCUAAAAUUCACCACAGCCGGUCGCACUGACAUUGCUUGAAACAAAAUUGGCAAGAAUGCAAGAUCACUUGACUUUCUCUGGUCACUGCCAUUCACCUUGCCUUCCUGAAAAUUAGCAAGAAUGCCAGCAUAUAAGCAAAUACUGCACUGAUUGGAAGUGCCAAUUUAGAAUUCAAAGCACAAAGAAAUGGGGAACAUACAGCAAGUGUAGCCUUUCUGAAUGACAACAAAACGAUAUGGGCAGCAAGGCACAAAUGACAGUUAUUAUCAGAAGGCAGAAAGUUAAUUAUUACUGGAUCAAUGCCUGACACCUCUGACUUCAAGCACUUUCAACCAAACAGGAUCUUUCUUUCAGAACAACGGAGGAGAAAAUUGAACAGCAGGCUAGUCAUUUUAUUGUGGUUAGCAGACACCCCUUGAUUUGGCUGCUAAAGAUUCUUCUUUCAGGUAACACUAUCAGAAAAAGCAGAUACAGAUAGGCAGAAGUAAACACCAGACUUCUGACUCCAAGCUAUUUCAACCAAAUAGAACCUUGCUUUAACAAUAUCAGACAUGAUAUUACUGAC